This 1253-nucleotide ribosomal RNA is filed under the name marine metagenome. RNAcentral describes it as "bacterial LSU rRNA". It matches the Rfam family "Bacterial large subunit ribosomal RNA", at positions 1136 to 2444 of the family's 2925-position model. The record is from RNAcentral.
AACAGCUCACUGGUCUAGAUAAGCUGUCCUGCGGCGAAGAUGUAACGGGGCUCAAACCACGAGCCGAAGCUCAGGAUGCAUAGCAAUAUGCGUGGUAGCGGAGCGUUCUGUGAUAUAGGACGCUGUGUCUUUAUAUUUAGCUUGCUGAAUAUAGCGGACACAAUGUGCUUUCUGUGAAGCCGGGCUGUAAGGCAUCCGGUGGAGAGAUCAGAAGCGAGAAUGUUGACAUGAGUAGCGAUAAAGAGGGUGAGAGACCCUCUCGCCGAAAAUCCAAGGGUUCCUGCUUAAAGCUAAUCUGAGCAGGGUGAGCCGGCCCCUAAGGCGAGGCCGAAAGGCGUAGUCGAUGGGAACUAGGUUAAUAUUCCUAGGCCAGGAGGAAGUGACGGAUCUCGAAGAUUGUCUGCCCUUAUCGGAUUGGGUGGGCCGUUUAGAGGUUCCAGGAAAUAGCCCUCCAUCAGACCGUACCCUAAACCGACACAGGUGGACUGGUAGAGUAUACCAAGGCGCUUGAGAGAACCACAUUUAAGGAACUCGGCAAAAUGCCUCCGUAAGUUCGCGAGAAGGAGGCCCUGUCUGUAGGCAACUAUAGGCAGGGGGCACAAACUAGGGGGUGGCGACUGUUUACUUAAAACACAGGGCUGUGCGAAGCCGUAAGGCGACGUAUACAGUCUGACGCCUGCCCGGUGCUGGAAGGUUAAAAGGAGGGGUGCAAGCUCUGAAUUGAAGCCCCAGUAAACGGCGGCCGUAACUAUAACGGUCCUAAGGUAGCGAAAUUCCUUGUCGGGUAAGUUCCGACCUGCACGAAUGGCGUAACGAUCUCCCCGCUGUCUCAAAUGCGGACUCAGCGAAAUUGAACUGUGUGUCAAGAUGCACACUACCCGCGGUUAGACGGAAAGACCCCAUGCACCUUUACUCCAGCUUUGCACUGGUAUCAGGAUUGUGAUGUGCAGGAUAGGUGGUAGGCAUCGAAGCAGGGACGCUAGUUCUUGUGGAGCCUCCCUUGAGAUACCACCCUUCGCACUCUUGAUAUCUAACCGCGGCCCGUUAUCCGGGUCCGGGACCCUGCAUGGUGGGGAGUUUGACUGGGGCGGUCGCCUCCCAAAGAGUAACGGAGGCGCGCGAUGGUAGGCUCAGACCGGUCGGAAAUCGGUCGUUGAGUGCAAUGGCAGAAGCCUGCCUGACUGCAAGUCUGACAAGACGAGCAGAGACGAAAGUCGGUCAUAGUGAUCCGGUGGUCCCAAGUGGGAGGGCCA